GUUUACAGCCAUACCACUCUGAGCACGGCUGAUCUCAUACGAUCUCGGAAGCUAAGCAGUGCUGGGCCUGGUUUGUCCUUGGAUGGGAGACCAACCGGGAAUACCAUGUGCUGUAAACU
Ribosomal RNA from Clupea harengus (Atlantic herring), 119 nucleotides. Lineage: Eukaryota; Metazoa; Chordata; Actinopteri; Clupeiformes; Clupeidae. The record is from Ensembl.